This is a long non-coding RNA of Bos taurus (domestic cattle), 861 nucleotides long. The record is from Ensembl. NCBI's taxonomy places the organism in Eukaryota, Metazoa, Chordata, Mammalia, Artiodactyla, Bovidae.
GGGAUAUCUUCACCAGACAUCAGAUCUGCCAGUGCUUUGAUCAUUGACUUCUCAGCCUCUGGAACUGUGAGCGAGCACAGGCUCUAGGCGAGUGGGCUGCAGUAGUGGCGCUUGCUGGCUCAGUAGGUGUGGCACAUGUGGUCUCUUGCCCCGAGGCAUGUGGGCUCUUCCUGGACCAGGGAUUGAUCCCACGGCCCCUGCUUUGGCAGGCAGAUUCUUAACCACUGAACCACCAGGCCAGCGUGAAGCGUCGGUAGGCAGAGCCGGCUGCGCCGCGAGCACUUGCUCCUGCCAGCCCCCAGCCCCCGCGUUCCCGGGGGGCCUCCCCACCCAUCCUUCCCGGCGGCGGAGAGACAACAGCUACGCAGAAGAGCAGCCUGGCCGCGGGUGGGAGGCUCUCCUCGCGGCUGGCGAGGCACAAUGUGGAGAUUUUUUCAUUCAUAAAACUAGCAGCCAUGGUCGCUGCGUUCCCGCCUGCCCCUCGCCGCCCGCUCGGGGGCAGGGUAGGCCUGGGUCCAGGGAAUGGGUUACGAGGGCCAACGGGCAUAGGUGGCUCGUCUUCGCGUUUCUCCAGGAAGUCCCAUUUCAUAAAUCCCGUGCGGGGUCCUCUCUCUAUUAGACGACUGACAUCGAUCGUGCAGGAGCCCUCUCGAUUGAAGAGACAAGAUGGCUUGUGGUUUUGAUCCAUAAAUAAAACCUCACCCUUUGACUCCAGGUUGUCCGACAUCUUGCUGCUGCAUUUUUCGGUCUAUCAGAUUUAGGAAGCGACUGUCAACCGUGCUAUCGCUGCAUUUGUAAACAACUGGCUUUCUAGGAUCCUGUUUUUACCCUUUUAUGGUGGCGGGUGGGAGUUAAGGGGGA